RNAcentral lists this long non-coding RNA (275 nucleotides) under Centruroides sculpturatus (bark scorpion). Its description in RNAcentral is "uncharacterized LOC111620841, transcript variant X2". The record is from RNAcentral. Lineage: Eukaryota; Metazoa; Arthropoda; Arachnida; Scorpiones; Buthidae.
AAUUUAUAGUUGCAUUAAAAUUCUAUAUUAAUCUCCCUUCAUAUUUUUAAUUCCAUAUGUAAUUAUUUCCAGUACUUAAAGAGAAUCGUUUCGUAUGCAAAGACGAAAUCCGGUUCCAAGAACAAUAUUUUGAGCUAUUCCGUAUGGGAACAUAUUGCCUGUAAUAAGUUUCGUCUUCAUAAAGAAGUGGCUUGGCUAUAUUUUGAAAAUUAUUUUUUGGUUCAUCUAAGAAAAGUUGACGAACGUAUCGAAUGGGAUCGACAGUUUUCGGAUGC